RNAcentral lists this ribosomal RNA (1129 nucleotides) under Pediococcus pentosaceus. Its description in RNAcentral is "bacterial SSU rRNA". It matches the Rfam family "Bacterial small subunit ribosomal RNA", at positions 38 to 1110 of the family's 1533-position model. Lineage: Bacteria; Bacillati; Bacillota; Bacilli; Lactobacillales; Lactobacillaceae. The record is from RNAcentral.
GGCGGCUGCCUAUACAUGCAGUCGAACGAACUUCCGUUAAUUGAUUAUGACGUACUUGUACUGAUUGAGAUUUUAACACGAAGUGAGUGGCGAACGGGUGAGUAACACGUGGGUAACCUGCCCAGAAGUAGGGGAUAACACCUGGAAACAGAUGCUAAUACCGUAUAACAGAGAAAACCGCAUGGUUUUCUUUUGAAAGAUGGCUCUGCUAUCACUUCUGGAUGGACCCGCGGCGUAUUAGCUAGUUGGUGAGGUAAAGGCUCACCAAGGCAGUGAUACGUAGCCAACCUGAGAGGGUAAUCGGCCACAUUGGGACUGAGACACGGCCCAGACUCCUACGGGAGGCAGCAGUAGGGAAUCUUCCACAAUGGACGCAAGUCUGAUGGAGCAACGCCGCGUGAGUGAAGAAGGGUUUCGGCUCGUAAAGCUCUGUUGUUAAAGAAGAACGUGGGUAAGAGUAACUGUUUACCCAGUGACGGUAUUUAACCAGAAAGCCACGGCUAACUACGUGCCAGCAGCCGCGGUAAUACGUAGGUGGCAAGCGUUAUCCGGAUUUAUUGGGCGUAAAGCGAGCGCAGGCGGUCUUUUAAGUCUAAUGUGAAAGCCUUCGGCUCAACCGAAGAAGUGCAUUGGAAACUGGGAGACUUGAGUGCAGAAGAGGACAGUGGAACUCCAGGUGUAGCGGUGAAAUGCGUAGAUAUAUGGAAGAACACCAGUGGCGAAGGCGGCUGUCUGGUCUGCAACUGACGCUGAGGCUCGAAAGCAUGGGUAGCGAACAGGAUUAGAUACCCUGGUAGUCCAUGCCGUAAACGAUGAUUACUAAGUGGUUGGAAGGGUUUCCGCCCUUCAGUGCUGCAGCUAACGCAUUAAGUAAUCCGCCUGGGGGAGUACGACCGCAAGGUUGAAACUCAAAAGAAUUGACGGGGGCCCGCACAAGCGGUGGAGCAUGGUGGUUUAAUUCGAAGCUACGCGAAGAACCUUACCAGGUCUUGACAUCUUCUGACAGUCUAAAAAAAUAAAAGGUUCCCUUCUGGGACAGAAAGACAAGUGGUUGCAAGGGUUGUCUUCAGCCCCCCGUCGCCGAGAAGAUAUGGGUUUAAUUCUCCCCAACAAAACGCAACCCUUAUUA